This 387-nucleotide ribosomal RNA is filed under the name Bathyacmaea nipponica. RNAcentral's name for it is "partial 12S ribosomal RNA". The record is from RNAcentral. Lineage: Eukaryota; Metazoa; Mollusca; Gastropoda; Acmaeidae.
UUUUAGACUUAAAUUCUGAUUAUUAAACUGCCAGGGAAUUACGAAUAUAUAUAUUUAAAAACCAAAGAACUUGGCGGUACUUUAGUCCAUCUAGGGGAACCUGUCCUUUAAUUUGACAAUCCACGGAAAUCUUACCAUUCUUUAAAUUUAUCAGUUUGUAUACCAUCGUUUUCAGCCAACCUCUAAAAGACUAAAAGUUGGCAACUAAGAAUAAAAAUUAAUUUUUUUCCUUAUACAACAGAUCAAGGUGCAGCCUACAGAAAGGGAAGAGAUGGGUUACAAUUUUAAAAUUAAAAUGAAACUUUCAUUGAAAUCUGAAAAAGAAAUAGGACUUAGAAGUAAUAUUUUUAAAUAAAGAAAAUAUGAAUUUAUGGUAAUAAAGUGCGC